Molecule: long non-coding RNA, 881 nt
Filed under: Oryza sativa (Asian cultivated rice)
Lineage: Eukaryota; Viridiplantae; Streptophyta; Magnoliopsida; Poales; Poaceae
Description: long non-coding RNA (OSAT_LNC001071)
Source: RNAcentral
CGCGAUGUUGGCUUUAUUCUGCCUGAACCUGGCAAAAAUUUGUAGAGUUAGUGUUGAGAUUCCCCAACCCAAUCUGUCUAAAAUAUUGCAAGGGUUAUAGUGUAAUAACCUACCAAGCAUAGAGUUUCAGGCCCAGUUAAGCAUCCAACUUUCAUAUGUAGGUAGGCAGUGGAUGAACAAAUGCAGCAAGGCAACUUGAAUUCGGAUCUUCAGUGUUAAACUCUCCGGCAGAAUCCUCACAAAGCAUGUGUUUACUUCAUCCAAAUGAGAUGUCAAACUCUGUUCCCUGUAAGAGAAAAUUAAUUAAAACAACACACAAGUAGUGAAACAACCAGAAAACAGCAGUAUCAGCAAAUGAAUUAUCUUUCAGAUAAACAGGGGGCCAAAAUCAUGUGGUCACAAGAUGAAAUAAGUGUCCUUUCAAAAAAAAUAAGUGUCCAAAGUUUCAAAUUUCUAGCAUGUGAACUACAACCAAAGCGAUCAAAGUCUGAUCUCUCACUGGUAUGUUCACCAGUCCUUGCUAAUCUUCUUUUUUACAGAAAGGAAAGUGAAAUGGUAAUCAUGGAGAAUAAACUCAACAAAAGUUUUGCAUUCUACUUUCUACUGCAACAUUUGAUAAUCAAGCAUAAAUAUGGCAUCUUAUAUACAGGCGACAAAAAUGCCUUGCAGCAGCUACAGUUGAUCCAAGCUACAAGCAACUUAUGCACCAAUACAAGAAGAGUACACCUCAGUUCACAACAUGAAAAAGAAAAGCAAUUAUAACAUCGAUCCACAGUUGUUGAAGUCAUAAAAUAGUACCGUAUUACUGUGCAAAACUGACCUAUUGGCAGAAAUCUUUCCUGGCUCACAAAGGGAUCCGGCAGAUUUUGAGACUAACAAAU